This 318-nucleotide long non-coding RNA is filed under the name Homo sapiens (human). Its description in RNAcentral is "non-protein coding lnc-HIP1-1:4". The record is from RNAcentral. Lineage: Eukaryota; Metazoa; Chordata; Mammalia; Primates; Hominidae.
CGCUUGCUCUCGUUCCUAGGGUUUGGCCUGCAGUGGACGAGCAUCGCAUAGCCUGCGGGGCUGGAUGCUGACCGCCCGGGCCAGCACCUAGGCGGACGCGGAGCUGUGCAGACCAGGGUUCGCGCGGGCCGGGUGGAGGCUCAAGCGGGGACCCCGGAGCGUGAGCCCCGGAGUCGGCGGCGCUGGGGCCAGAGGGGCCGGGAGGGAGGUAUGAUUAUCACCAAGCCAAACAUCAUCAUGGAGUGGAGGUGAAGGAAGUGGAGCAGGGAGAGGAGCCGUGGAUAAUGGAAGGUGAAUUUCCAUGUCAACAUAGUCCAG